Molecule: transfer RNA, 66 nt
Filed under: Popillia sp. POP01
Lineage: Eukaryota; Metazoa; Arthropoda; Insecta; Coleoptera; Scarabaeidae
Description: tRNA-Phe
Source: RNAcentral
AUUUAAAUAGCUUAUAUAUAGAGUUUGAUAGUGAAGUUAUCAAGGAAGUAAAAAUACUUUUAAAUA